GGCUUAGUAACUCAGUUGGUUAGAGCGCUAGCAUCACAUGAUAGUGUUGCUGGUUCAAAUCCUGCCUAAGCCA
Molecule: non-coding RNA, 73 nt
Organism: Mycena galericulata
Lineage: Eukaryota; Fungi; Basidiomycota; Agaricomycetes; Agaricales; Mycenaceae
Source: the annotation of a GenBank genome assembly